UUUAAGUGAACCGUGUACUCCCUCAAUAGUUAGCAUAUUGAGGGUCCCGGAUUGGCUUCAUAGUCUAACAAGCUACAAUACCUACUCAGCAGCAUAUUAUCUUUUUAAUAGCUACGUAUUUAGAAUUUUACAAUGUCGCAGUACGAUAAAGGCACAUAUGAUCAACAAGGUUAUGGACAGCCACAGCAAGGUUAUGAACAGCCACGGCAAGGUUAUGGACAGCCACAGCAAGGUUAUGGACAGCAAGGUCAUGCUCAGCAUCAUGUAUCAAAUACAACUGUGGUUAUACAACAACCUGCCGCACAAGUAAAAGGCAAAAGACAAUGGCGACAUGGAAUGUGCGGCUGCUUUAAUGAUAUACCCAUCUGCUUAUUGUCUACAUGUUUUGGACAAUGUUACGGUUGUUACAUGGUGACCAAAGCGGAUGAACAUUGUUGUCUUGGGUGGUGUUGUCCUGGUUACUUGUUACCACUUCGAUCUUACGUCAGAGGGCGUCUCGGAAUUGAGGGUAGCAUUUUUAAUGAUUUCUGCGCUGUGGCGUGCUGUGGACCAUGUGUGAUGUGCCAGGUGGCCCAAGAAUUGAAUGAGAGCAAUAAUUCUGGCGAAUGGCAGAUGUCUUAAAAUAUAUUUAUUACGGAUCUUUCACUUUGCGGUAGUCUCCGUCGCUUUAAUCCAGAUUGUCUCCGUUCGACGGCAACGAAUUUGUCUGAACCAAAUAGAGCCAAUUGUGUAUGUUCGCGUGUAUCACUCCUACAAUGGUUUUUGGUAAAUGUUUCAUUUCACCAGUUAAUAUUUUUGAAAAUUUCCAAGACACGAUGGGCGUCGGUUUUCUCUCAACCAGUCGUAACAUGCGCGAAUCUCCGUAUAACAUUUGGCAUUGUUUGGAAACUUGACACUAUUUUGUCCAACCCAGAAUUCGCUGUAGUUGAGGCCGAGACAAUUUAGACUGGAGUCAUCGAGAAUAACGGUACUUAUUUUGAAUGGAAAGAUCUAAAAUAGAUUAUAACAGAUCAGCAGCAUCCCUAAUAUCUAUACAUUUCCUCGACAUAUGUAUAUUAAAUAUGUAUAUAUUUUCUUUGGUCUAUUUCCGUGCUUGAUAACAAUUUGUUUUACAUCAAUCGAAUUAGAUUACAAUUUUCUAUUGUUUUGGGUUGUUUUUCUUUUUUUUCUUUUUUUCUUUUUUUUUUGUUCCACUGCAUUGUAACGGAGAACAACCCCAAAUAUGACACGAAACCAAAUUAAUAUAUUGUGUAGGAUAUACCACCAUGUAAUUUUAGACGAAUUAAUCGAUAACAUUAAUAUUCGUAUGCCGCACCAUAAAGUGUCAAACAUAUUUUCUAUGAUGUAUAUACAGUUAUGCUUUAGACCCAGUUUGUUCUGAAAUAAACAAUUUCUCAUCACUUGAUAUUAAAGCGAGGGUCUGUAUCUUAUAUUACAUAAAUUCAACAAUUAAUGUAAGGUCAUGCUGAUGGCCCAUAGCGCAGCAAGCAUUGGUUACGAUAAGGGUGACAUGAAAUAAAUUUAUUGUUAUCAUAAAUAAAUGUUUUUAACCAGAGUGUGUUUUAUGAAUGCUAAUAAAGGAGCUAGACCUUAUUAAUUUAGGCCAAAAGACUAAUUUUAGUUUCGCUUUUCGAUUAAACUGUCGACAAUCAGGUUGAUCUCAACACUGGCUCUCCCUGUGGAUCUCAAUUUUACAAAAUGCAAAUCAACACAUUAAACUUAAUUAAAUUGGCAAUCCUACGUUUUAUACACAAAUCAAAGGAGUUUUUUUUUAUUAAAAAUAAUACGAAUAAUACAACUGUAUUAACAUUUUAUUGUAUUACUAAUUUAUAUAUGUACAAUUGUAAACCAUUGGUUUAAAAAACUUUCUUUUUUAUAUCAAAAUAAACAUUUAAUGUUGUU
This is a long non-coding RNA of Patella vulgata (common limpet), 1902 nucleotides long. RefSeq lists it as uncharacterized. The transcript has 4 exons. Lineage: Eukaryota; Metazoa; Mollusca; Gastropoda; Patellidae. The record is from RefSeq and is a predicted model, not a curated record.